ACGGCGUCGUCCUUUGGAAUUCCAGGUUGGUGAUUGGGUAUUUCUGAAGGUAUCGCCUAUGAAAGGCGUAAUGCGGUUCGGCAGAAAGGGCAAACUUAGUCCGCGUUAUAUUGGGCCUUAUGUGAUUGUGCGGAAAAUUGGGAAUGUCGCCUAUGAGUUAGAUUUGCCAUCUGAUUUGGAAGCGGUACAUCCGGUAUUCCAUGUCUCUAUGCUCCGCAAAUGCAUUGGUGAUCCCUCCAGAAUAUUUCCGGCGGAUGAUAUUCAGGUGACGGAGCAGUUAUCUUACGAGGAGCAGCCCGUAGCCAUCUUGGACCGCCAGGUAAGAAAGCUCCGGAACAAAGAUGUAGCCUCUGUUAAGGUGCUGUGGCGGAACAACAAUAGGGAAGAAAUGACCUGGGAGGCCGAAGAGGAGAUGAAGAAGAAAUAUCCUCAUUUGUUCCCUAUGCCCACAGUUGUCUUGGAGGAAGAAGCACUUGGAUCCUCAAUUUGAUCACCUAUUCAAGUGAAGAAGACUAGGGAAAAAGAUUUUCGACGAAACGGAGAGUGAGCUUGGAUAGGCUUAAAAAGCUCAAAAGGUAUGUAAAGCUACCCCGAUCCUUCUUUUGGCAUGCCUAAGUGUAUUAGGAUCGAAUUCGGGCCUCGAAAGACUUUCUGCCCCUUGGAAUCCGCAAGUGAAAAUAUCACUUUUUCUUUCAGUAAGAUUGAACUCUUUUGGUAUGUUUUCUUGGAAAUUAUGCAAACCUUCUCUAAACUCCUUGGAAAGCUACAGAAUGUCCG
Molecule: RNA transcript, 777 nt
Organism: Lycium barbarum (goji berry)
Lineage: Eukaryota; Viridiplantae; Streptophyta; Magnoliopsida; Solanales; Solanaceae
Exons: 3
Source: RefSeq, a predicted model, not a curated record